This 58-nucleotide transfer RNA is filed under the name Chloroflexi bacterium RBG_19FT_COMBO_47_15. RNAcentral's name for it is "tRNA-Ser". It matches the Rfam family "tRNA", at positions 17 to 71 of the family's 71-position model. From Rfam's summary of the family: Transfer RNA (tRNA) molecules are approximately 80 nucleotides in length. Their secondary structure includes four short double-helical elements and three loops (D, anti-codon, and T loops). Further hydrogen bonds mediate the characteristic L-shaped molecular structure. tRNAs have two regions of fundamental functional importance: the anti-codon, which is responsible for specific mRNA codon recognition, and the 3' end, to which the tRNAs corresponding amino acid is attached (by aminoacyl-tRNA synthetases). tRNAs cope with the degeneracy of the genetic code in two manners: having more than one tRNA (with a specific anti-codon) for a particular amino acid; and 'wobble' base-pairing, i.e. permitting non-standard base-pairing at the 3rd anti-codon position. The record is from RNAcentral. Lineage: Bacteria; Bacillati; Chloroflexota.
GGUAGCACAGGGGACUUUGGAUCCUCUAGCCCAGGUUCGAAUCCUGGCUCGGCAGCCA